RNAcentral lists this unclassified non-coding RNA (231 nucleotides) under plant metagenome. RNAcentral describes it as "partial contains small subunit ribosomal RNA, internal transcribed spacer 1, and 5.8S ribosomal RNA". The record is from RNAcentral.
UCUCCGUUGGUGAACCAGCGGAGGGAUCAUUACAGAGUUGCAAAACUCCCAAACCAUUGUGAACGUUACCUAUCCCGUUGCUUCGGCGGGCGGCCCGGGCCCCGCGCCCGGCCCCCCCCGGCCCCCCGUGGGCGCCCGCCGGAGGUAAACCAAACCCUUGAAUUGCAUGGCCUCUCUGAGUCUUCUUUACUGAAUAAGUCAAAACUUUCAACAACGGAUCUCUUGGUUCCG